UAUGGUAAUUAUGAUCCUUUCUUAAGGCAUUUAUACCUCCUAUAGCUGAAGAUAUAUAUAUGGUGGAGCUUAUAGGAGUGCUAACAAGGAUAAGCACACUUACAAUGCAUGUAUUGUAAAUUCAGCUAAUGGAUCCAAAGAGAAUCGAGGCAUACAAUCAAACCAAGGUGCGCAUGUGUAUGGAAUGUAGUGGAUAGGUGUAUUUGUGGUAUUUGUGGCUAAUUUCUAUUUUUUUUUUGAAAAUAACUCUCUAUUAAAACUUCUUAGGAAAGACAUGGGCUAUCUUUAUUAUUCUCUCUCUUUUUUUCACAGGGAGGCGGGCAUCUAGUACCCAUUGUUUUAAUUAUUGGGACACUUGUCCAUCUUUUACUUCCUUUUCUUCUUUUAUAUUUUUGCAUAGCCACAUGUAUCCUUUCAAUGCAAUAAAUGAUUAGAGAGGUCA
This 442-nucleotide long non-coding RNA is filed under the name Sorghum bicolor (sorghum). RNAcentral's name for it is "long non-coding RNA (SBIC_LNC013878)". The record is from RNAcentral. Lineage: Eukaryota; Viridiplantae; Streptophyta; Magnoliopsida; Poales; Poaceae.